Molecule: small RNA, 28 nt
Filed under: Bombyx mori (domestic silkworm)
Lineage: Eukaryota; Metazoa; Arthropoda; Insecta; Lepidoptera; Bombycidae
Description: ovarian small RNA-1784
Source: RNAcentral
GCGAACAAUGGCCGGGCUAACAAAAGCC